GAGAAAGUGAUAAUGGUUAUUAAGUUGGCUUGAAACCAUCAUUUGAAGGUUCGAUUCCUUCCUUUCUUA
This 69-nucleotide transfer RNA is filed under the name Orycteropus afer (aardvark). RNAcentral's name for it is "transfer RNA-Ser(UCN)". It matches the Rfam family "tRNA". From Rfam's summary of the family: Transfer RNA (tRNA) molecules are approximately 80 nucleotides in length. Their secondary structure includes four short double-helical elements and three loops (D, anti-codon, and T loops). Lineage: Eukaryota; Metazoa; Chordata; Mammalia; Tubulidentata; Orycteropodidae. The record is from RNAcentral. RNAcentral also lists the same sequence under 1 other name.